Choloepus didactylus (southern two-toed sloth) is the source of this 104-nucleotide small nuclear RNA. The record is from RefSeq and is a predicted model, not a curated record. Lineage: Eukaryota; Metazoa; Chordata; Mammalia; Pilosa; Megalonychidae.
GUUCACCUCAGCAGCACAGGCACCAAAAUUGGAAUGAUACAGAGAAGAUUAGCAUGGCCCCUGCACAAGGUGACACACCAAUCCGUGAAGCAUUCUAUAUUUUU